Suricata suricatta (meerkat) is the source of this 363-nucleotide long non-coding RNA. RefSeq lists it as uncharacterized. The transcript is spliced from 6 exons. NCBI's taxonomy places the organism in Eukaryota, Metazoa, Chordata, Mammalia, Carnivora, Herpestidae. The record is from RefSeq and is a predicted model, not a curated record.
GGAUUAUGGUCAUCUUGGUCUUGCUCUUAAGGAAAGUGAAGAAAGAAGUUAGGUAACUUCCCAGUAUCACACAAUUGAUCACUGUUGAAAGAUGAUCUGAACUCCUAGAAGCAGGGAGCUGCUAUGCCAGAGACUCGAUCCCCUCACUGGAAAUCCCAUGUAUGCUUGAGAGAACAGUAGAGGCUUCACUUCUGAGGGAGCUGUUACACAAAAAUGCACGUGGCGGGACUUAAGCACGACCACGUAAGAGAACAGGGAAGUUUUAUAGGCUGCUAACCACAAAAUGAAGAGGCAAGCAUUUGUAAACCACGAUCACAAGCACAUCAGUCUUGGAUAAGUAUCUAUGUCUUUCAACUUUCUCAU